Molecule: ribosomal RNA, 443 nt
Filed under: uncultured bacterium
Lineage: Bacteria
Description: partial 16S ribosomal RNA
Rfam family: Bacterial small subunit ribosomal RNA
Source: RNAcentral
CCUACGGGUGGCAGCAGUGGGGAAUAUUGGGCACUGGGCGCAAGCCUGACCCAGCAACGCCGCGUGAAGGAAGAAGGCUUUCGGGUUGUAAACUUCUUUUCUGAGGGACGAAGAAAGUGACGGUACCUCAGGAAUAAGCCACGGCUAACUACGGGCCAGCAGCCGCGGUAAUACGUAGGUUGCAAGCGUUAUCCGGAUUUAGUGGGUGUAAAGGGCGUGUAGGCGGGAAAGCAAGUCAGAUUUGAAAACUCAGGGCUCAACCCUGAGACUGUAUUUGAAACUGUUUUUCUUGAGUGCUGGAGAGGCAAUCGGAAUUCCGUGUGUAGCGGUGAAAUGCGUAGAUAUACGGAGGAACACCAGUGGCGAAGGCGGAUUGCUGGACAGUAACUGACGCUGAGGCGCGAAAGCGUGGGGAGCAAACAGGAUUAGAUACCCUUGUAGUC